CCAGACUCCUACGGGAGGCAGCAGUGGGGAAUAUUGCACAAUGGGGGGAACCCUGAUGCAGCGACGCCGCGUGGGUGAAGGAGCACCUCGGUGCGUAAAGCCCUAUCGGCAGGGAAGAAACAGACGGUACCUGACUAAGAAGCCCCGGCUAACUACGUGCCAGCAGCCGCGGUAAUACGUAGGGGGCAAGCGUUAUCCGGAUUCACUGGGUGUAAAGGGAGCGUAGACGGUUAAGUAAGUCUGGAGUGAAAGGCCGGGGCCCAACCCCGGGACUGCUCUGGAAACUAUUCAACUUGAGUGCAGGAGAGGUAAGCGGAAUUCCUAGUGUAGCGGUGAAAUGCGUAGAUAUUAGGAGGAACACCAGUGGCGAAGGCGGCUUACUGGACUGUAACUGACGUUGAGGCUCGAAAGCGUGGGGAGCAAACAGGAUUAGAUACCCGGGUAC
RNAcentral lists this ribosomal RNA (445 nucleotides) under uncultured bacterium. RNAcentral's name for it is "bacterial SSU rRNA". It matches the Rfam family "Bacterial small subunit ribosomal RNA", at positions 331 to 793 of the family's 1533-position model. The record is from RNAcentral.